UCUAAGGGACAAGUUAAUAUAAAAACUCUAAAGUUAAGCGUGCUCGGGCGAAAGUAAUUCUAUGAUGGGUGACCUCCUGGGAAGUUAAGUUGUGUUGUAA
Molecule: non-coding RNA, 100 nt
Organism: Cephalotus follicularis
Lineage: Eukaryota; Viridiplantae; Streptophyta; Magnoliopsida; Oxalidales; Cephalotaceae
Source: Rfam